Molecule: long non-coding RNA, 253 nt
Filed under: Malus domestica (apple)
Lineage: Eukaryota; Viridiplantae; Streptophyta; Magnoliopsida; Rosales; Rosaceae
Description: long non-coding RNA (MDOM_LNC012834)
Source: RNAcentral
UAACCAAAAGGGUGUAAGAGAUGUUAGUAAAAACCCCCUUUGGUGGCCGGCCUUUGUGUAGUUUAGAGAGUUAUUUUUCUUUUGCCUCUUUGUUGUUUUAACACACAAAAACCCUAAUGAACUUUAUCUCUAUAAAGUUGCUUAUAUAGACAAAAAGAAACCUAGUCAACACUUGACUAAAUAUCUCACUCUUUUCACACCUAAAGUGGCCGGCCUCUUUGUUGUUUGUUUGGGCUUUGGGCUUUUAUUAUUU